Molecule: long non-coding RNA, 692 nt
Filed under: Homo sapiens (human)
Lineage: Eukaryota; Metazoa; Chordata; Mammalia; Primates; Hominidae
Description: non-protein coding lnc-FMN1-2:3
Source: RNAcentral
CAGAGAUUAUAUAAUAGGUCCAGCUAUGCGUGCUUACUAUCAGUAAGGCAUUGCCCUUUCUGAUAGUUCUGACGUUCAGUUGGAAAUCUCUGUUGGGAUCAGAAGAAAUCUCAACUGGGAAGAGAAGGGGACGCUAUGAUGGAAGACGUUGGACAGAAUCCACUGGAUGAUGUGUAGCAGACGAUAUAAUUACCAGCAUUAGAAGCUGUAAAACAGAACCUUGACUGCCUGAAUUCAGACCUUGAAAAGGACCUGCAGAAACUGGAUAUGGAGAAUCAGGUUCUCCUUAGAAAGAUUAAAGAGAAAGAAGAAACUAUUUCAAGGAGAAAAGUAACGCAAUCCUAAGCAGGAAUGUGGUGGAGGUUCAGAAAAAGAUUUCAGGGUUAUUUACAAAUAUUGGCCUUGAAGAAGAAACCACAAAGCAGAUCCUGGAGGAAAUGAAGGCAAGACUACAGAAGUCAACAGAGUCCUGUGCAAAGCAAGAGGAGGAACUGGCCAAGGCAGAGGCAAUGUCUCUUCCACUGAGGGUCUGCCCGGGAUAGAAUGGGAGAGAAUCCCAAGGGUCUUAGAAACAGAUCUGCUUGAGGCAUAGGAGGGGGAGGUACAAAAACAUCUUGCAAAUGAAUUUCUGAUUCUUAUGCAUUCUUAUGCAGCUGAAGGGAAAGAAAACUUCUAUUAAAAAUACUGCUUUU